This is a long non-coding RNA of Zea mays, 144 nucleotides long. RefSeq lists it as uncharacterized. The record is from RefSeq and is a predicted model, not a curated record. The transcript is spliced from 3 exons. Lineage: Eukaryota; Viridiplantae; Streptophyta; Magnoliopsida; Poales; Poaceae.
GGCGGAUUUACGACCGGGGCUGCCUGGGCUGCAGCCCCGGUCGCGGCCCAGUAACGGGAGAGCGAUUUCGUGCCCAGCUCUGCCUCGUGCCCAUUACUCAGCCCCGCGCGACUGCGCCUAACCUAAACCAGCCGCCAGCCGUGG